GGCGGACGGGUGAGUAACACGUAGGCAACCUGCCCAUCAGACUGGGAUAACACUCGGAAACGAAUGCUAAUACCGGAUAAGCAGUAACCUCGCAUGGGGAGACUGGGAAAGGCGGCGCAAGCUGCUACUGAUGGAUGGGCCUGCGGCGUAUUAGCUAGUUGGCGGGGUAACGGCCCACCAAGGCGACGAUGCGUAGCCGACCUGAGAGGGUGAACGGCCACACUGGGACUGAGACACGGCCCAGACUCCUACGGGAGGCAGCAGUAGGGAAUCUUCCACAAUGGGGGCAACCCUGAUGGAGCAACGCCGCGUGAGUGAGGAAGGCUUUCGGGUCGUAAAGCUCCGUUGCCAGGGAAGAACGCCUAGGAGAGUAACUGCUCUUAGGGUGACGGUACCUGAGAAGAAAGCCCCGGCUAACUACGUGCCAGCAGCCGCGGUAAUACGUAGGGGGCAAGCGUUGUCCGGAAUUAUUGGGCGUAAAGCGCGCGCAGGCGGUCUUUUAAGUCUGGUGUCUAAGUGCGGGGCUCAACCCCGUGAUGCACUGGAAACUGGGAGACUUGAGUGCAGUAGAGGAGAGCGGAAUUCCACGUGUAGCGGUGAAAUGCGUAGAGAUGUGGAGGAACACCAGUGGCGAAGGCGGCU
This 642-nucleotide ribosomal RNA is filed under the name uncultured bacterium. RNAcentral's name for it is "bacterial SSU rRNA". It matches the Rfam family "Bacterial small subunit ribosomal RNA", at positions 97 to 726 of the family's 1533-position model. The record is from RNAcentral.